This is an RNA transcript of Papaver somniferum (opium poppy), 1715 nucleotides long. It is a transcript of the gene named E3 ubiquitin-protein ligase RGLG1-like, with no coding region annotated. The transcript has 9 exons. Lineage: Eukaryota; Viridiplantae; Streptophyta; Magnoliopsida; Ranunculales; Papaveraceae. The record is from RefSeq and is a predicted model, not a curated record.
CAGCAGCAAAAACAACUCUAAUCUCUUUUCUGUUGGAUCUCAGUUUUUCUUAAAAUGCCUUCACUUUUUCCGGUUCCGAAGAUUUUUCGAUCAAAGAGGGAAGCUCCAUAUCAAAAUCUGGGCGAGGUUUCUGAAAGCUUUGAAAGAAAAGGUCUAAAAUGUAAUCUGACUGUAGCUAUUGAUUCCACUACAGGGCACACGGAUCACGUGACUGAAGUUCAAGAAGUGAUAGCUAUUUUAGGAGAAGUCCUAACUUCUGAAAAUGUCUUUAAGUUCGUAAAGGCCUAUCUAUUUGGAGAUGCAACGUCGGAUGAUCGUUUCGUCUUCGGCAUCUAUUCAGAUGAUAGAGCAUGUGAUGGAUAGAAAGAACUACUUGCGCGCUACUCUGCUGUAGUGAGGCAUAUAAUACCGUCAGGUUGUUUUUCUACUUCACCUAGCAACCAAUAUUCCAUCACUUUCUGUCGGCUAAUGCUUUUCGGUAUGGUAGCUUCAACAUCAUUUGGUCCAGCCAUAAGAAGGGCAACAAAAAUUGCGAGUGAAAAUCCUAACCAGCAGCAUGUUUUGCUGAUACUUUCUCAUCAGCCGGAUAAAGUUUAUUUUCAGUCAUGUUUAUGCCUAAAGAUAUUGUAGUUUAGAAGCUGAAAUUCCACCACUUUAAAGUAGUAACUUACGAAAAGUGGGGGGCUUUAAAGAAGAUAGAGGGCUACAGCACACGAGUUAUUCAUUGCUAAAAUUUACAAACAACACGCUUUUUACAAAUGGGACAAAAGAGCCUAGCUUUUGGUUAAUGGCUAACAGGCUGGGCAGCAGUUCAAAUUUAAGAGCCAAUACUAUCUAAAGUCUUAGGAUGGCAGAUUUAAUGUCCCAGUAUUGCCUCCAGGUCUUAGAAGGAUUUGAUACAGGAAUAGCCAAUAGGAGAAGUUGGCUGGUUGUAUAAAGAACUAACAGUAAAUUCAGCAGAGGUGAGUAGGAGUCGAUUUACUGAGCAUGGUAAACUAAGCCCUCAGGAGCAAGACACCAUAGAUGCGAUUGCUGAUGCACAAAAUUAUCCAUUAUCCAUAAUUAUAGCUGGAGUCGGGAAGAAUAGUGGGGAUGUGAUGGGUGGAUUGACUAACUAUCGCACCUUCAGUAAUACCCAGUUUGUAGAUUUCACAUCAAUGUCAAGCGUGCCCACACCCAGAAGAGAGAUUGAGUUUGCUCUUGCAGCCACUAAAACGCUGCGUUCCCAGCGAAAAGUCAUUCCGAAUGGAAAAAUUCCAGAAGAUGUUCCUAUCAUGCAAGCUCUAUCAACUGCCCAAGACCACCUCCAAUAACCCGAUCAGCCUCUGUUAAUCAAGUACUUCAAAGCCACUUUUGAUUCUUUGAACAUUUUGAUGUGUAAAGCCGGGGUCAAAGGUGGACGUACAUAAUACAGCUCUAACUCCUUGUUCCCACCUAAUUUAUUUCUCAAAUGCUUCCCUGUACUUCUCUUUUUGGGAUAUGUCUAUUUUGUAGCACUUGGUGUUGUUCUAGGAUUUUGAGAGAUCAUGUCCGGAAUAGUAAACUAGAUGUGGCGUAGGAACUGAAUCGUACUAUAUAAAUGUGCUUGUAUUGGUAGUGCAAUCCAUCUGGAAUCUGGAACAUGCUCUUUUUUAACCCACUAACCCCGAACACUGCAUGUACCCACGUUUAAGAAAACACAUUUAUUUGUUCACCGGCUUGCUGCAUUAGACGGA